UGAUCGAUAUUCAAUGUGGCUUUUGGCAUUCUCUGUCACUCUAGCUAGGUCCUUGGAUGAGCCACACUAUUGACAUGGGUUUAGGAUAUAAUGCACAUGGGUUAGUUCAUCUCUUUUUCUUUUGCACCCAGACCCGUGGAUCCAGUUGCUUUUGCAAGGGAAAGAGAUAUGCCUUCUGAUUCAGAUAGGACCUUAAAUGAAGACA
Long non-coding RNA from Zea mays, 205 nucleotides. RefSeq lists it as uncharacterized. Lineage: Eukaryota; Viridiplantae; Streptophyta; Magnoliopsida; Poales; Poaceae. The record is from RefSeq and is a predicted model, not a curated record. The transcript is spliced from 3 exons.